This 271-nucleotide ribosomal RNA is filed under the name uncultured bacterium. RNAcentral's name for it is "partial 16S ribosomal RNA". It matches the Rfam family "Bacterial small subunit ribosomal RNA", at positions 29 to 327 of the family's 1533-position model. The record is from RNAcentral.
AACGAACGCUGGCGGCAGGCCUAACACAUGCAAGUCGAACGCCGUAGCAAUACGGAGUGGCAGACGGGUGAGUAACACGUGGGAACGUACCCUUCGGUUCGGGAUAACUCAGGGAAACUUGAGCUAAUACCGGAUACGUCCGAGAGGAGAAAGAUUUAUCGCCGAGGGAUCGGCCCGCGUCUGAUUAGCUUGUUGGUGAGGUAACGGCUCACCAAGGCGACGAUCAGUAGCUGGUCNGAGAGGAUGAUCAGCCACAUUGGGACUGAGACAC